This 465-nucleotide ribosomal RNA is filed under the name uncultured bacterium. RNAcentral's name for it is "partial 16S ribosomal RNA". It matches the Rfam family "Bacterial small subunit ribosomal RNA", at positions 338 to 795 of the family's 1533-position model. The record is from RNAcentral.
CCUACGGGAGGCAGCAGUAGGGAAUCUUCCACAAUGGGCGAAAGCCUGAUGGAGCAACGCCGCGUGGGUGAAGAAGGUCUUCGGAUCGUAAAACCCUGUUGUUAGAGAAGAAAGUGCGUGAGAGUAACUGUUCACGUUUCGACGGUAUCUAACCAGAAAGCCACGGCUAACUACGUGCCAUCAGCCGCGGUAAUACGUAGGUGGCAAGCGUUAUCCGGAUUUAUUGGGAGUAAAGGGAACGCAGUCGGUCUUUUAAGUCUGAUGUGAAAGCCUUCGGCUUAACCGGAGUAGUGCAUUGGAAACUGGGAGACGUGAGUGCAGAAGAGGAGAGUGGAACUCGAGGUGUAGAGGUGAAAUGCGUAGAUAUAUGGAAGAACACCAGUGGCGAAGGCGGCUCUCUGGUCUGUAACUGACGCUGAGGUUCGAAAGCGUGGGUAGCAAACAGGAUUAGAGACCCGGGUAGUC